Molecule: transfer RNA, 60 nt
Filed under: Cyamophila willieti
Lineage: Eukaryota; Metazoa; Arthropoda; Insecta; Hemiptera; Psyllidae
Description: tRNA-Val
Source: RNAcentral
GAGUAAAUAGCUAAUUUAAGUUUAUUAGUUACAUUAAUGGGAUACCGUAGGUUUUACUUU